AAAUUGAAGAGUUUGAUCAUGGCUCAGAUUGAACGCUGGCGGCAGGCCUAACACAUGCAAGUCGAGCGGUAGCACAGAGAGCUUGCUCUCGGGUGACGAGCGGCGGACGGGUGAGUAAUGUCUGGGAAACUGCCUGAUGGAGGGGGAUAACUACUGGAAACGGUAGCUAAUACCGCAUAAUGUCGCAAGACCAAAGUGGGGGACCUUCGGGCCUCAUGCCAUCAGAUGUGCCCAGAUGGGAUUAGCUAGUAGGUGGGGUAACGGCUCACCUAGGCGACGAUCCCUAGCUGGUCUGAGAGGAUGACCAGCCACACUGGAACUGAGACACGGUCCAGACUCCUACGGGAGGCAGCAGUGGGGAAUAUUGCACAAUGGGCGCAAGCCUGAUGCAGCCAUGCCGCGUGUGUGAAGAAGGCCUUCGGGUUGUAAAGCACUUUCAGCGGGGAGGAAGGCGAUAAGGUUAAUAACCUUGUCGAUUGACGUUACCCGCAGAAGAAGCACCGGCUAACUCCGUGCCAGCAGCCGCGGUAAUACGGAGGGUGCAAGCGUUAAUCGGAAUUACUGGGCGUAAAGCGCACGCAGGCGGUCUGUCAAGUCGGAUGUGAAAUCCCCGGGCUUAACCUGGGAACUGCAUUCGAAACUGGCAGGCUAGAGUCUUGUAGAGGGGGGUAGAAUUCCAGGUGUAGCGGUGAAAUGCGUAGAGAUCUGGAGGAAUACCGGUGGCGAAGGCGGCCCCCUGGACAAA
This 745-nucleotide ribosomal RNA is filed under the name Klebsiella pneumoniae. RNAcentral's name for it is "bacterial SSU rRNA". It matches the Rfam family "Bacterial small subunit ribosomal RNA", at positions 1 to 737 of the family's 1533-position model. Lineage: Bacteria; Pseudomonadati; Pseudomonadota; Gammaproteobacteria; Enterobacterales; Enterobacteriaceae. The record is from RNAcentral.